UUAAAACAUAAAUACUCUAUAGCUCAAUUGAUUCAUCUAACUCAAACAACCCCUAAAUCAUGAAAUUGUACUCCCCUUCAAACUCUUUCUAUCAUUAAAGAAUCUCAUAUGGUUAAUCUUUAAGUCUCAAGCUUGAAAAGCAAUUUAUAUGCUUCUUAGUGAAGAAUAAAAUGAACUUCUUAAAGAAUCAGAUUUAGACUUUACUUUUCUUAAUUCAAAUCCAAAUUAUGUACCUAAUCUUAGCUAACAACAAUUAAAACAAGUAGACAUAUAGAAGCAAUAUCAAAAAUUGUUUCUCUCUUCUCACCUCUAUCCCUUGUUCUCAUCCAAUAAAUCUUGACU
This 342-nucleotide long non-coding RNA is filed under the name Physcomitrium patens. RNAcentral describes it as "long non-coding RNA (PPAT_LNC000476)". The record is from RNAcentral. Lineage: Eukaryota; Viridiplantae; Streptophyta; Bryopsida; Funariales; Funariaceae.